Molecule: ribosomal RNA, 409 nt
Filed under: uncultured Diversispora
Lineage: Eukaryota; Fungi; Glomeromycota; Glomeromycetes; Diversisporales; Diversisporaceae
Description: partial 28S ribosomal RNA
Source: RNAcentral
GAGAGUUAAAUAGUACGUGAAAUUGUUGAAAGGGAAACGAUUGAAGUCAGUCAUGCUAGUGAAAAAUCAGUUUAACGGGUUUUGAGUUUGGGAGUAGAGGCAGGGUCAAACCGUUUCUCUUUUGAACUUGGGAUUUGUUAGAUGUACUUUUUCUUUGGCAGGUCAGCGUCGAUUUCGGAGGUUGUAAAAUACUUGGGGGAAAGUAGCUCUGCUUCGGGAGAGUAUUAUAGACCCUGGGGGAUGCAGCCUGCGGGAUCGAGGAUUGCAGCAAAUGCCUUUGGCUUGUCGCCUGAUCUCUGGAUGUUACCUCGCUUGUGACAACAUUCUUGCCACCUGUGGGUACUAAUGCCCAUUAGGUUAGAGCGAUCAAAAAUUUUGCUAAGGAUGCUGACGUAAUGGCUUUAAACGA